UAUUCUGCCCCACAGGGAAGGAUGAGAAGCUUCGACUGGGGAAGGUUCGACUCGAGCGUAGCGAGAGAACGUUGCCGCAAGCAACGGCCCGAAGGGCGAGGCGCUUUAGCGCCGAGUCAUCCUUCCCCCACUACUG
Molecule: small RNA, 136 nt
Filed under: Klebsiella quasipneumoniae
Lineage: Bacteria; Pseudomonadati; Pseudomonadota; Gammaproteobacteria; Enterobacterales; Enterobacteriaceae
Also listed under: 2 other names
Description: RtT sRNA
Rfam family: RtT RNA
About the family: This family represents a bacterial cis-regulatory element known as RtT RNA.
Source: RNAcentral